AGAAUCGGAAGUCAAGACGGUGACAUCGUGUGAAUUGGUGGUAGCAGUGGGAUUGGCUUGUGUGUUUAAAUGAAAUGCUCGAUUAGGACCUGGGCACCACUUUGGUUAAACGUCACCUUUACAAUCCGAAGUGUAAAGUGUGAAAGUUAAAGAGCUGACAGUCACACUGUGCGUGUGUGCAGAUUGGUGACAGAAAUGGGAUCGGCUCCCCUGGCCAUCUGGAGAAGUUUUAACGUAAGAUGGCUGAUUUUGUCAUUAUGUGUGAAAUCACCAAAGACUGCACACCACCUAAUCCUUACUGGACAGGAGUUUUACCCCUAAUGAGGUAGUGGGUGCAUAGGAAAUAAAAUUUAAAAAAGAGCUGACAGUUGAACUGUGCAAAUAAGUGGUGGUGGUGGAGUUGUGUCCUCUGGGUUUGGGGGUCUAAGAAAGUUUAAAAGUAAGACAGUGGAUUCUGACCUCUUGUGUGAUAUCAGCUACCACCCUGGCGGGACAGGACUUCCUUAUUGUGUGGUUGAUAAGGAGGUAGAUAGGAAGGUAAGAAAUACAAACACUACACUGAGCAUGUGUGCAAAUUGGUGGCAGAAGUGGGAUUGGUGCCUCUCACUGUCUAGAGAAGUGUUAGAAUGAGACAGCAGAUUCUGACUUCUUGUGUGAAAUCAGCCAAGAGUGGGCACAACCCUGGCUGGAGAGGACGUCCAUAUUAUAUGGUAGGUAAAGAGGUGAGAAAUAACACACACACACACUGUGCAUGAGUGUAAAUUGGUGGCAGCAAUGGGAUUGACUCCUCUCGCUGUCUAGAGAAAUGUUAAAGUGAGACAGCAGAUUCCGACUUCUUGUAUGAAAUCAGUCAAAGGUGGGCAUCGCCUUGGCUGGACAGGGCUUCCCUAUUGUGUGGUCGAUAGGAAGGUAAGAAAUAACACACACACACUGUGCAUGUGUGCAAAUUGGUGGCAGAAGUGGGAUUGGCACCUCUCGCUGUCUAGAGAAGUAUUAAAAUGAGACAGAAGAUUCUGACUUCUUGUGUGAAAUCAGGCAUCACCUUGGCUGGAAAGGAUCUUUACACCC
Long non-coding RNA from Erpetoichthys calabaricus (reedfish), 1068 nucleotides. RefSeq lists it as uncharacterized. The transcript is spliced from 3 exons. The record is from RefSeq and is a predicted model, not a curated record. Lineage: Eukaryota; Metazoa; Chordata; Cladistia; Polypteriformes; Polypteridae.